This 5530-nucleotide long non-coding RNA is filed under the name Equus caballus (horse). RNAcentral describes it as "lncRNA (ENSECAG00000050168.1)". The record is from RNAcentral. Lineage: Eukaryota; Metazoa; Chordata; Mammalia; Perissodactyla; Equidae.
GAGGUCCCUGGUGCCUGCUGCGUGUGGCCUGUGACGCCAUCAGGAGGCGUCCGGAAGCGCCCGGGCCCGCGACCCCGCCCCCCCCAUCCCGCCAGGUCGCCGCGAGAGAAGGUGGCUGCCCCCCCCGCCCCUCCGUAUCGCCUCCCUCCGCGUCCCCCACCGCUCGCCCCCCGCCGUCCGGACUCGGGGCUCCGCGCGGCUCCGUCCGAGGCUCUGGCGCGAUGCUGCUGCCGGAGCCGCCGCCUGAGGAAACGGCCCCGAGCGGGCGGACGUGCGGGCUGCGGCGCCCGCGCUGCGCGUGAGAGCGCUCGGCCGCUCCGCCCUCCCCGCGCGCCGGCCGCCGCGUCACGGCCGCGUUGGUAACCGGGCGCCCAGGCACGGCCAUCGGGGCGAGCAGAGGCCACCCGCGGGCGGGCCGCGGUUGCACGAGGGGGCGCGGCUGUGCGCCAGCCUCAACUCGCUGCCUCCCUCUGCCCCGACUCGCUCCCGCCUCCUGGGCGGGGCCCGACUUAGCCUCCGCCCCCCCUUCCCUCCCUCCCCCUUCCCUUCCCUCCUUCCCUCCCUCCUUCCCUCCCCUUCCUCUCCUCCCUCCCUCUCCUUUCCUUCCCUCCUUCCCUCCCCCUUCCCUUCCCUCCCUCCCUCCCUCCUUUCCUUCCCUUCUGCUCUCCCUCCCUCCUCUUCCAUCCUUCCCUUCCCUCCUUCCCUCUCUCCUUCCUUCCUUCCCUCCCCCCUCCUUUCCUUCCCUUCUGCCCUCCCUCCCUCCUCUUCCAUCCUUCCCUUCCCUCCUUCCUUUGCUUCCCUCCCUCCCUCCCUCCCUCCUUCCCUCCUUUCCUCCUUCCGUCCCUCCCUCCUUUCCCUUCUCUCUAUUUCUGCCCAGCCUCUGUCCUGCUCCCUGCAUUCCAGCUUCACUGAGCUGCUGUGGUCCCUGAAAGACAUGGUCCCUCAUCAUUCCCCAUCUCCGAGGUCACCUGUCUGGGAUGCCCUUUCUCAUGCUCCCUCCUUCCUCCCUCUGUGCUGUGUCUUCUGAGACCGCCCUCAGAGGCCACCUCUCCGCAUCCCUCCCUGACCUGGAGGACAUGUGCAUCCCUUCUCUGUGGCCACAUCACCACACAAAGACAGGGUUCUCUGCCCGAUGCCCGUAAAAAGCCAAUGAUCACACCACCAGCUUUUUCGAGGUCGGCCAGCCAGGAGGCGGGAGUCAGAGCUCUCAGAGGUCCAGGUGGUGGGUUGGUGGUCUCAACAGGCCUGAACUGGACAAGAGGCCUCUCAGUUCCUGAGACACAGCUCAGUCGCUCUUGGAUACGGUGUGGACACUAGUUCAUACCUCCAGCUUCUCCUAGUACCGUGCCCAGGCUGGCAGACACAGUGGACACUUGCCGCCCAACUGACACGCUGAGGGUCGGAUGUGCCGCAUUUGCAGGUUACUGCCUGUUCCCUGUCAGAGGCAACAAAGCUGCUAGAGGUCGAGGAGGGCGUGGGUGUUGUGUAGACUGCGCUCGGGCUGCAGACGUGCGAGGACGGGCCCUGGGUGGUGCUGACAAACGAGGGGAACGAUUGAGUUCUGAGGGCUUUAUAAACACCCAGUAGAAGAUGUAUCGCCCCAGAUACGGUUUGUUUCUUAGUGAAAGUCAGCUCUAUGAAGGUGUAACUUCCGUACGAUAGAACACAGGCAUGUUAAGUGUGCGUCUGGUGAAUUUUGGAACAUGUCAGCACCUGGGUGGCCACGACCCCCAUUGAGAACUGGACUAUCUCGGCGUUAACCAGAUCUCCUGAAAUUCUCCAUCUGGCACAGGGUCCGCCUGCCCCACCUGCAGUGGGUCCUGUGCUUUGGGCUCUGGCCCCCGUGGGAGCAGCUGCAGUGGACGCUAGGGGGACACCAGGCUGGUCUUCAUCAGUCACAGAGACCACUCUCUGUCCAGAAGUAGGAGUGUGUGACACCUCUAUCCUCGUCACGCCUACGGCUGACCUCGACCGGUAACCACAGCCUGCGGUGCUCACAUUCCCAGGAGACAGCCCAGCAGUCCCGUCCCAGUUUGUCAGGAUUGCCCACCACGCACACGCUUCUCCUGUGUCUAGGUCCCAAUUCUGGCACAGGACGCACCACAGUGCUGCCACGUUCCUCCUCCUCUGGUCCCAGGCUUGGCACUGGCCACCCCACAGCAGCAUGUCUGUCAUGGUCUCCAGCUCAGCUGUGCUGGCUUGUGUUGUAUCACAGCUCUGCCCGAUCUUACAUACUUAUUCUAAAUCUCUCCUCCAAAUCAGGAGAGUACCUCGAAUAAGGAGGGGUCUCCAAUGGUUUGAGAGUCAGAGUUGCUUUGGAAACUAGAUGCAGGCCCCCCCGAGAGGCUCCAGUCCUGGAGUCCCCACAUGUCAUCCCGUGUUCAGAGAUGCGGGCACUACAGGCCUGAUGGGAGGGAGUGGCUGCCGUCCCUAGAUGUCCACCUGCGCUGCCCUCUCCCUGCUGGAGAGAGUGCCUUAGGGCAGAUGCUGUGACGAAGGUCAAAGUGACCUCUGCGUGUGAUGUCUGCCACUGGUGGCCCCAGUUGCGUAACUGCAAAGAGAACCCCAAGGAAGGGAGGGAGUCGCCCCAGGAUGAGGCGCCUGGUAGUUGCUCCUCUGGGUUGGCCCAUGGGCAAGGGACUCCCUGCGUGGUGGGUGUGGGGUUCCUGCCAAGUCACCGCCCAUAAGGCGUUAAUGAGGCGUUUGAGAUGAGGCCCCUAGUCUGGGGGUCUCCCCUUACUGGAGCCCCCUGAUCUGAAACUCCAAGGGGCCCUCCGGGGUCAGCUCCCUGUGGCCCCUUGUGUGGCACUCCAGGUGUCUCUGUGCACACUCGCCUCUGUGCUCUCCUGACCCCUGACCUCUGGACUGCGAAUGUGCAGGGAUGAACAUGGUGCGAGCCCAGAGCAUGGAGCAGCUGUGAAGGGACAGGCCUACAGGCCUGAUUCCCGAGCCUGGCAGGGCCGGCAGAGGAUCAAGAGCAGGCAGAGCCGAGCUGAGCCCUGACCCAGAAGGGAGAGGAGCGUCCCACUCCAGCAUGAGGGACCCCAUCCCCCCAGGGCGUGGCUGCUCCAGCCCUCCCUGCAGUUCAUUCUUUUAUCAGCAAAUGUCCCUGCAUGGGGCUUUGGGGAGAGCUGCUCUCUGGUUCCUGGGAGGUGCUCCCUCCGGGCACCCCUGGGUCCUGGCGUGGCCCCGAGAGGCUCAGAAUCACCCAGCAUUGUGGGGCUGGAGUCUGGAGCUCAGCCUCUCCCUCAGGCCUCCCUCAGGGGUCCUCUUGCCUCAGCUCACUUGAGAAGGCCAGUCCUUCCAGGUCUCCCAGGGCCUCCAGUGGUGUCAGAGCCUGACACUGGCCAGAAACCCCUCCCACGAAGAGACGCCAGGUGAGCGUCAACUCCAGCUACCCGGAACACCAGCCGGGCUCCAUCCUCUGCACCCUGUGAGUGGGGGUCUGCCUGGGGCUGCAGGCCCAGUGCGGGGCAGUGUCCGGCCUGAGAUGAGCAGACAGGAGGGCCACCCCGGCCCGCAGAGCAGCAGCUGUCUGCCCGCGCCUCGUUGCCUCUCGUGCAGGUGGCUUCACCCACACGUUGCACCGUGUGUACAGGGAGACAGUGGCGCUCUCCCGUGUGCACACACCACUCCUUCAGAAGCAGCACGUGCCCUUGAGCCUGACUCCGUCCCCAGGAGCCCGUGGAGGCACAGCAGGGCCUCUGGCCACCGCAGCAGGAGGAGCUGCAGCCUCUCUGUCAGCUGGUGGUGUCUCAGGGAAGCAGUGCAGAUGGGGUCUCUGGACCUGCUGGGGGCCUGGAGUGGUUUCUGAGCCCCAGGGAUGGUGAGAAGUGAGGGCCCUCGCUUCUGAUGAGAGCCCGACCUUCAAACUCCGGUCGCAUUCUGUCCUUGGGUUCCGUGGGAAGGGGGAUCUUCGGUUCCACGGUCAUUUCAAGUCAAGAUUUCCUCUUCUGCGCGUGCUCUGGCCACGUGACUUGGCACGUUUCCUGUUUCCUGAAAGGCGAUUCUCAACCUCUCUGUUGAUAAGAGAUGGCUCAGUUGACCUGGUGCUGGCGGGCCUGCGGUUACACCGCCAGCCGCAGGCUCGGGAUCCCCAAGGCGGUGCUUGGUGUGACAGCUCUCUGGAAGGGCCUGGAGCUCGCUGAGAGCUGAACCACGCAUGGCCAUGGUUCGUCACAGGGAAGGGACACAGAUGAAAACCGGCUCAGGAGAGGCGCCCGGGCAGAGUCUGAGUCCCCAGAUGCGGAGCACCCCCCUUCUUCCCAGCUCACCCCACAGACACCUUCCUGGAACGGAACUUGGAUAGCGGCAUGUGGGUGUGGUUCCAGAUGCAGACUCUGAGAUGAGAUUUGUAUGAAGGACAUGCUCCCCGGAAACGUGGCUGGGAGUGGGGAGUGGACGGGGAUGGGGAGGAGGCGCAUGCAGGCCUGUGGAGGGACAAGGGCUCCAUCCCGUGGAGGAACUCCGGACUCUGCAGGUCAUGGCUCGCAGGUGUCCCCAUCUGGAGGUGAGUGGCUUUGAGUGUUUGUGCCCCUGCCUGGCAGUCACCUGUUAAGGGUUGUAAAUCGCGACAACCCCAGCCCUCAGGAGCUCAGGGAAGGGCCCUCCUGUGGCCGGAGGGCGGCCCUCUGUCAAAGAUCCCGAUGAUGCCCCAUGGGAGUGGGGUCCUAGAGCCCAGGGGUGUGAGAUGGCGGAUGGAGACCUGGACGCGCAUCUGUGGCCGUUAUCAUCAGAGACCCCGCAUCCAGAGGGGCUAAUGGUUUUCUCCUCAGACAAGUGAGGGCUCCUGGUGUGACUGUCCGACCUCACGUGCCAGUGGGGUCAGCACCCGGCCCAGAAGCAGCAGCUCAGCAGCCACCUGCCGUCACCCUCGCCCCGACUGUGGUCACAGUGUCCCCACACCUGGGCAGAGAUGGGGCAGUGUUUUCUCUCCUUCAGAUGCCGCCCAGGCCCAGGCUUUGCCCCAGAGCCUGGGGGCCGUGACAAGAUCACCACGGACUGCAGGACUGCCUGCUGUCUGCUCCAUCCCACACAGACUGUUCCCCCGUCCUCCCUCCUGUCUGGUUUGAGAUGCCAGCCUCCGUCAUCCUGACCCCCCAGUGGUCACAGCCCCGGCUUUGGGCAAAGCAAAGGGGGCGGAAUGUGUGACCCCGGAAAUGCCACUUGGGCGAGAUUGUUUGAGCUGAAGACCCUGGAAAAACAGCAGGCUCGGACGUCUUAUAAAUCAGAAUUCCCCUGAGGUUAACGGGUACCAGACUCAUGAAAGGAAAACCUGGCGGGGGUCGUGCAGGGAGAGCCUUGGAGAAGCUCUGACCUAAAGACGCAUCCAGAGACCGUUUCUCACCAGCUCUGGGUAAUCAGCACAACCAGGGAAGAGGCCCCUCCCUGUGUCUCCCCAGACUUUCCCGGCCGCCAGAGACUAUCAACAUGCCGCUGUUUGCCCGGUAGUGUUAUUGUUUCCCUCUCUCCUUCUUCGUUUAUUAAUACGAAUUUUUCUGUGGGGAGACAGUGUUUCUUCUCCCACGUU